This 253-nucleotide ribosomal RNA is filed under the name uncultured archaeon. RNAcentral's name for it is "partial 16S ribosomal RNA". It matches the Rfam family "Bacterial small subunit ribosomal RNA", at positions 524 to 776 of the family's 1533-position model. The record is from RNAcentral.
UACAGAGGCCCCAAGCGUUGUUCGGAUUUACUGGGCGUAAAGGGUGUGUAGGGGGUCGUGUAAGUUUGACGUGAAAUCCCGUUGCUCAACAACGGAACUGCGUCGAAUACUGCUCGGCUGGAGGUUCGGAGAUGAGGGCGGAAUUCUCGGUGUAGCGGUGAAAUGCGUAGAUAUCAGAAGGAACAUCAAUGGCGAAGGCAGCUUUCUGGACCAAUACUGACGCUGAGGUACGAAAGCGUGGGUAGCAAACAGG